Molecule: ribosomal RNA, 1357 nt
Filed under: Heterosphaeria patella
Lineage: Eukaryota; Fungi; Ascomycota; Leotiomycetes; Helotiales; Heterosphaeriaceae
Description: SSU rRNA
Rfam family: Eukaryotic small subunit ribosomal RNA
Source: RNAcentral
CUAUACAGUGAAACUGCGAAUGGCUCAUUAAAUCAGUUAUCGUUUAUUUGAUAGUACCUUACUACUUGGAUAACCGUGGUAAUUCUAGAGCUAAUACAUGCUAAAAACCUCGACUUCGGAAGGGGUGUAUUUAUUAGAUAAAAAACCAAUGCCCUUCGGGGCUCCUUGGUGAUUCAUAAUAACUUAACGAAUCGCAUGGCCUUGUGCCGGCGAUGGUUCAUUCAAAUUUCUGCCCUAUCAACUUUCGAUGGUUAGGUAGUGGCUAACCAUGGUUUCAACGGGUAACGGGGAAUUAGGGUUCUAUUCCGGAGAGGGAGCCUGAGAAACGGCUGCCACAUCCAAGGAAGGCAGCAGGCGCGCAAAUUACCCAAUCCCGACACGGGGAGGUAGUGACAAUAAAUACUGAUACAGGGCUCUUUUGGGUCUUGUAAUUGGAAUGAGUACAAUUUAAAUCCCUUAACGAGGAACAAUUGGAGGGCAAGUCUGGUGGACUCAGUCCCUUGCUGACGCCAGAAAUAGUGGUAGCCCACUAGUCGACUGCACACAAGCUUUGGGUGUGCGGCGGCAAGACAACCUGGAUCGGGGGAAGCUAAGGGCGCGAGCCUAUGCUAACCCCGAGCGGAGUGACCCUGGAGCGAUCCUGGGGAGCCCGUGUAGAGCGCGCAAAGGUGUCGGUUGCCUGCAGACGCAGGCAGCUUGAGGUACGUGCCAGUCCCACGCGAAAGCGUGUGGUCAAGAUAAGCUCCCAAAGGGCGAGGCUUGACCGGGGCGAACUCAGUUCGCUUGGGUUAGACUUAUGGACUUCCUAGUCUAACAACAUCGGCCAGCAGCCGCGGUAAUUCCAGCUCCAAUAGCGUAUAUUAAAGUUGUUGCAGUUAAAAAGCUCGUAGUUGAACCUUGGGCCUGGUUGGUCGGUCCGCCUCACCGCGUGCACUGAUCCGACCGGGUCUUUCCUCCUGGGGAGCCGCAUGCCCUUCACUGGGUGUGUCGGGGAACCAGGACUUUUACUUUGAAAAAAUUAGAGUGUUCAAAGCAGGCCUAUGCUCGAAUACAUUAGCAUGGAAUAAUAGAAUAGGACGUGUGGUUCUAUUUUGUUGGUUUCUAGGACCGCCGUAAUGAUUAAUAGGGAUAGUCGGGGGCAUCAGUAUUCAAUUGUCAGAGGUGAAAUUCUUGGAUUAAUUGAAGACUAACUACUGCGAAAGCAUUUGCCAAGGAUGUUUUCAUUAAUCAGUGAACGAAAGUUAGGGGAUCGAAGACGAUCAGAUACCGUCGUAGUCUUAACCAUAAACUAUGCCGACUAGGGAUCGGGCGAUGUUAUCUUUUUGACUCGCUCGGCACCUCACGAGAAAUCAAAGUC